Molecule: long non-coding RNA, 278 nt
Filed under: Lathyrus oleraceus (garden pea)
Lineage: Eukaryota; Viridiplantae; Streptophyta; Magnoliopsida; Fabales; Fabaceae
Description: Pisum sativum (pea) long non-coding RNA (PSAT_LNC019921)
Source: RNAcentral
GAGAGUGUUAUACGAUGGAGAUGGAGAUGGUUGCGUUGGUAAAACAUUUUCAUAAAAAUGAGAAUCAUAAAUAAAAAGUUUUAUAGUCGAAGAAAGCUUACCAUGAAUGGUUGCUUCGGAGGCCUUAGAUGAUUUUUUAGCAAUACUAGAAGUAUCUUUCAGAAUCAUAGCAUUCUGGCGCUCACUGAGGGGCACCUCAUCUUCAUCCAGAAUUGCAGCAACCUUCUUCUUCUUCUUCUUCUUUUUCUUCUUCUGCGGUCUAGAAGAUCCUUCUUCAC